RNAcentral lists this small RNA (208 nucleotides) under uncultured Prevotella sp. Its description in RNAcentral is "Bacteroidales-1 6S-Bacteroidales RNA suggested". It matches the Rfam family "Bacteroidales-1 6S-Bacteroidales RNA suggested". Lineage: Bacteria; Pseudomonadati; Bacteroidota; Bacteroidia; Bacteroidales; Prevotellaceae. The record is from RNAcentral.
GCUGUGCCGGUUCGAUAGGGAUACUCAUCAAAUUACAUUGAAAACCGAGCUGACUUCUCUUGCCAAUGGCGGGCCACAGUGCGUGUCGGAUUCCGACCCCGCGUCGGAAGAUAUUCUGGCAUGUAAGCCGAAAGGCCGGUGGAUUACAACGACGGAGAGCACUCACAUCUUUUAACAAAGGAGUUUUCAUCACAUCACCGGGCGGCAC